This 64-nucleotide transfer RNA is filed under the name Crioceris duodecimpunctata (spotted asparagus beetle). RNAcentral's name for it is "tRNA-Asn". The record is from RNAcentral. Lineage: Eukaryota; Metazoa; Arthropoda; Insecta; Coleoptera; Chrysomelidae.
UUAAUUGAAACCAAAAAGAGGUAUGUCACUGUUAAUGACAAAAUUGAAACAUAUUCCAAUUAAA